AUGUUCGAGGCUGUGUCACUGUGUGCUGUGCUCGGCGGAGGGACCAAGCUGACCGUCCUGGGUCAGCCAAAGUCCGCGCCCACGGUCACUCUGUUUGCUCCCUCCACUGAGGAGCUCAGCGCCAACAAGGCCACCCUGGUGUGUCUCAUCAAUGACUUCUACCCGGGCAGCGUGACGGUGGUCUGGAAGGCAGGCGGCACCACCAUCACCAGGGGCGUGGAGACCAGCCAGCCCUCGAAACAGAGCAACAGCAAGUAUGCGGCCAGCAGCUACCUGGCCCUGACGGCCAGCGAGUGGAAAUCUUACGACAGCGUCACCUGCCAGGUCACGCACGAGGUGACCACCGUGGAGAAGACAGUGUCACCCUCCGAGUGCUCUUAGGUCCUGGUCCCCCCACCCUCAGGGGACCGGAGCCACAGGACCCCUGGAGGGUCUACCCACCCACCCUGCUCCCCCCAGCCCUCCCUCCUGCACCCAAUCAACUCUCAAUAAAAUGUCCUCAUUGUCA
This is a non-coding RNA of Balaenoptera ricei (Rice's whale), 508 nucleotides long. NCBI's taxonomy places the organism in Eukaryota, Metazoa, Chordata, Mammalia, Artiodactyla, Balaenopteridae. The record is from the annotation of a RefSeq genome assembly.